CCGCUGCCGGGAGGACCUCGAGAGCUCCUCGAUCCGCCGCCGCCGCCGCUCCAGGAGAGAAGGAGAUAGAGAGCUUUAUUUCACCUCCGAAUCAAAUACUUCAGAAAAAAAGACCAUCCCUCCCAUUUUGUGCAGGAGAAGGAAAAGCAGAGGCAUGGAGAGCUGCAGCCCAAAUACUCUAUGGAAGUACAUACUAAUUGUAUGUGGACACCUUUAUUGCAGUUGUUAAAGAGCAGAGCUGUUUCCUUCUCAAAAUCCAGGAGUCCCAGUAUGUUGAUAUCAAUUUAAAAGGUAAUUAUGUUGGGUUUUUAAAAAUAUAUUUGUCAACUUAUAUUCUGUAGAUGUUCGUAAGAAAUGUAAAUUUCCUAUGUGGGUAGCCAUAUCAUGAAACAUCUCUGUGUUUAGGUGAUUAUUAUCUGGACAGGUGCUGCAUUUGGAAGGUGCCUGCAUAUCUGUGUCUAAGAGAAUUAGGUCAUUUAAGAUGCUUUUGCAAUCUGUUUUUUCCUGCAGAAAUGUCUUUUAAAUGUGCUUGGGCUGUCUCAUCUCCAAGCAGCAGAAUGAAUAAAGAAACAGUAAGAUAUCAUAAAGAUAUAAAAGGAGACAGUUUUAUCACUGUGAGAGUAUUCCUAAUCGUACUUAACAAUUUAUGAAAUCAUAAAUCACAGAAUCACAGAUGGUGAGGUAAAACUUUGUAAUGCUUGAGGGCCUCUUAUUAUUCCAAGAGUGACUAAUGUAUAUAAACGCAUUAUUAUUUAAACAGAACAGUUCAUUGUGGUUGAAAUUAAGAUUUUGGUUGUAAAAGUGACUUCUUAUUAUGAUUUCUCAAUGUGAAAUGCCUUGCAGUAAAGGAGAAAAAAAAGAAAAUAUUACAUGUAAAUUACAUUUCCUAAGCCUAUUAAACAAAUUGAAUCUCUGCAUAUAACCCUGCAUUUACCAACCAGUAGAUUGGGCCUGAAUUCAUAGCCAUAGUGCAGAAUCCAGUCUUUGGUGCUUAUAUGUCUUGCAAAUUAUUUUUGAGUGAUCUUUUAAUGUAGUCUCUAAUUUCUCAACCAUAUGUAUGUAUUUCUCACUGCUGGGAAUAUUGGAUAAAUACUGGCAACCAAUAGUGAUGAAAUCACUGGAAACUAAUGGAAGAAUUAUCUCACCAGUAUCAGUGCAGAAGAACUCAUCUGAGGUUACAUUUUUUUGGGUUCUUGUUCUCAUUUGUGAGGAUUCAGUUGGAGAUGCUGUAGUUAUGGAUGGGCUACCAAUGUCAUGUCAAGUGCAACAAUUCAUCUUCACCUUGCUCAUGCUUGAUGUUGUUUCCACUGAAAUAAGCACUAUUAAGUACUUAUUUUAAUAAGUACUAUUUUGGUACCCUUGAGAGCACAGUUCUGCUGGCUUGGUUUUUUUUGGUUUUUUUUUUUUUGGCAAGGUAGUUCUUUUUUUGAAAAGUAUAUGCAUUGAGUUAGUGUUUUGCUGGAAUGUGAGAAGUGAAAGUGUGAAAGUGAGGCUGUUCUAAUUGAUAGAGCUUUUGGAAACUUUUUCCUUUCUCACAAAUUAAUGAAAUUGUCUAGAUUAAAUCAAUUUAGAUGGUGUGUGACAGUGAGAUAAUGAGCUGGCCUUUUUAUCUGAAAAUCUCUCUGCUAUUUGGAUUGAUGGCACCAGGCCAGUGUCUAAUGGAUGCAUUUGUCUGCAUUACAGAAGAAGUUCCUGCAGUCUGGACUUUUGCUUCAGAGAGGCUGAAGAUUUGUUGAAUUUUUUUACCCUAGAUGAAAAUUUUCCUAUUAGUGCUAUGUCAAAUACCUGUUGAUAUUCUUUGCAGGAUUUUAUUGUGUUUGUAAUAAUCAGAUUGACAUCUAUGCUUUCAGUGACUACUGGGAUGAAAUAAAGA
Melozone crissalis (California towhee) is the source of this 1873-nucleotide long non-coding RNA. RefSeq lists it as uncharacterized. Lineage: Eukaryota; Metazoa; Chordata; Aves; Passeriformes; Passerellidae. The record is from RefSeq and is a predicted model, not a curated record. The transcript has 3 exons.